This is a long non-coding RNA of Astatotilapia calliptera (eastern happy), 2978 nucleotides long. The record is from Ensembl. Lineage: Eukaryota; Metazoa; Chordata; Actinopteri; Cichliformes; Cichlidae.
GUAGGACUAUAUGACAACUCUGAAAACAUAAAUGGUAACUCAGAACCAAAACAGAAGAAGCCUUGACCAACUCUAUUCCAUGUACAUCAGUUUAAUUCAUAAAUCAUUUUUACUUAUAUAGUAUCAGGUAACAGUGACAUUCACUUUAUUUUGCGAGAAAAAGACCUUGAAAUAUUAGAGAGAGCGAGGACCAACAAUCCCUUAUAAAUAUGCACUUGCCCGCUGUUGGAAGUAAGAAGUCUUUUAACAGGAUGAGACCUUUGGCAAUACCAGGCACUGUGAAGGGCAGCUGUUUGCUGCGACUGGCUGGGGAGUGAAGGGACCGAAUAUAGUUAAGCAUAGAGGAAAGACACAUGAAACAAACAAGAAGAUGACCAAACGAGAAAUCCUCAAAUUGGAAAGAGAACAAAAGAAAGAAAGAAAUGCAACUCCCCAUUAGGUCAAUAAUUACAUAGUCUCUCACUGUGAUGGCAGUGCACCUGUUAUUCAUUAAUGAAAAACAGUAACAGUGAAAACCACCUCAAACCACUUGUAUUUAGGUGCAUACUCAAAUAGCCAAACACUUGGCUAUAUGUAUAAAAAGAGUCUUGAUCAAGACGGGCUAUGAUUUACACGUGCUACCAGGUCUUACAAGCAGUUGGUGCUUAGCAGAAUCUACUUAAAUAUAUAACCUACAAUAAAUAUAAUAAAUAACAAAGUUGCAGGAAUCAGAGAGAGAUUUAUUAUUAGACUAACCCUGUCCAAGAUGUUCCAGAAGUUAAGUGCUUUUAGGCACAGUCACAUCCGAGUUCCCUUGUCAAGAAGGGAAACGAUAAGAAAAAAAAAGCCCAUGAGAGGAAAUAUUUUUGUCUCAUUGUUCUGAGAUUCAGUAUUUUAUGGGCUGAGCCAUUAAAGUGAGACCACUUGCGUCACUUGAGAGACUUCAAUUAACCCCUGGGGCAGUUUGGUCAGUCACUCAGUGACUCUGGGCACAGUAUCUAAGACGUUGUAGUAGCCAGCUGACAGUGAGCUAAACAGACUCAAUCAAUGCCUGUAAAAGAGAGCUCAAGCGAGAGGGUGUGCUGUCACCCACUGCACUACACUGGUCCACCUUCUGGCACCCUUCAACUUUAAUUUUUUCCAAGAUUCAAAUCACAUUUUUGAUAUUUGCUUUAUAUGAUAGAAAACUGAAGAGAAAACUCUUCAGGGAAGAAUUAGAGCGUUUGUGCGAGCCUCGAGGGCACCGAUCUGGGGUUCAACCUAAUUUGGAAAAAUAGAAAGGUCUUGCUGUGUUAUUAUCAUUUGUGCUGGUGCAUUUGAUACUGGGCUGCCUCUGGGAGUUGAGCAAACAGACGCCAAUGGCAAAAGGCGACAUCUUAAAGAGAUAUUUCAGCUUUGUGGACUGUUUUCACUUAAAAGUUUGGGAGCAUAUAAUCUCCAGCAUUAGCUGCCCAAAGGGAUCCAGUAAGCACACACACAGACACACACUUGAUUUGAUCACAGAAAUUGUUGUAGAUACAUACCUAGCUUCUUGUAGAAUAGUACUGUGAGCAAUGCACUACGGACAACCCUGGUUAGGUUUAACAAUGUCUCUGAUUUAUAAAGAUACUUUUUCAUACUGUCAUCCUGCUUAUAGAGAAAAGUGACUGUGUAUAAUGAAUUGGGACAGAUCAGUGUGGGAAAAUUCAGCCCUCAGUUCAAUAAAUUCAAACAGCUCCAUGUUAUGAAACGUGGGAUAGUGCAGCUUACACACACUGUCUUGCCCCUGUGAGGAUAAUUCAUUAACUUUCCUAAUCCUCUCAUGUGGUGUUGCAGCAGAAAAAAAAAGAUGAAAAGCUCACUGAAUAUCAAAAACAACGAUUUCUGAGCCCCUCACCAUGGUCCUCACACUCUUUCACAAGUGUCUCUGAAAAGGGAUGCUACAUGUUCGACGCAUGCCUGUCCUGUGUUAAUGAGCUUUGAAAUACAUUUUCGUGCACCGCUGUGGGAUGAGAACAGCUCAAUAAAAUAUACACAGGAGGUCGAAACGGUAGGGAAAUAAAAACCCCUUUUUGACAAUGUUAAGCCUCGCAGCUGCUUUGAGGCAACUGAAGGGUUUUUAUCAGCUCUUCAGAUGUUGGAUCAUAGGGCACAGAAAGCUUUCCAAGGGUAAGCAAAGUCAGGGGAGUCAGUACUGUACCAACAUAUGCCUUUGCACACGUGAUUAAAACACAUGUUGUGGUGUCUUCUGUCCAUCUGCACUAUAUAACCCCAAUUUUUUCUUGCACAAUAUAUUUGCUGACCAUGGAAACUAAUGUCUUAUAAUUACUUUAAAGAAUUAAACUGAGCUAAAUGUCGCCAUUCUAAUUUAUACUGUAUACACAGAGGAGAACUGAAAUGGUUUUCAAACAUGUGUGCUACACACUCAUAUGGUAAAGUAUAACUAUACAAUAUCCUUAAGAGUAUUAGUAUUUUAGUUCUUUUUCACAGAACACUGUGUCAGGGUCCUGGGACUGGGCGACCCAGGAUCCCUGGGCAGUCAUGGACCUGCGUAUUAUUAUUAUGUAUUUUUGGUGUCGUUUCCCCUUCUCUGUGCGUGUACAUAUGUGUGUUUCUCUGUGCUGUGUUAGUCUGUGUCCCACUCAUAUGUUUAGGCGAGGUAUGGAUGUGUAUGUCUGCGGGUGUGCCUGGAGGAUGGAGCUCGGCCACCUGCAGGCCUGAGGGGUGUGGCCCUGCGGAGGGACUGGCCACACCCGAAGCCACACACCUGCCGCUGAUCAGGGCUCGUCGGGGGAGCUACUUAGGAGAGUCUUGGAGCUCCCACCGACGCGGGAUCAUUGAGUUAUCUUACCAAGAGGAGGAGUGGUCCGGAGAGGCAGCACGCACGGGGGUGCGGAAACACAACAGCGGGGAGCACGAGCACAUCGGAGGGAAGCACGCGCACGGGGUUCGAGGGAGCAACGGGGAGUUAUUGUGUUUACAGCUUUCCACUGUAAAUAAAGAGCACUGUUUGCAUCGCA